AAAAAAAAUUCAUUUAGUUUGCAUCUUUGGCAUUUCUAGGAGAGUCUAGAGCAUAUAGGUUGCAUUUACUUGCAUUGGGAGCAAUGAUUUUAAAUGCCUUGUAAAGAACACUACGUUGCACCUGAGUAGCUUUUGCACCUCUCAAAAAGACUUGUAUGUUUCGAGCCUUGAAAACUCUUCCUGAAACUUGUUGAUUGCUGAAACUCAGUCUUUGAAGCCAACUACAACCUUAUUUGAACUAAACGAACUUAAUGCUUCUUGCUCAUGGUCCCUUGUGUACUGAGUCAUGGCUAUACACACCUGAGUUGUCACAUCCUUUAUGCCAAUCUUAUUCUGACAAACUCUAGUGGUAGACCACUCCCAAAACCUUUCCCUCCUUUUAAGCUUUCAUUGUUUGAUGAGUGAGGCCUUCUUCGGAAAGUCUUACAUGUGCAUAAUGUUGAGAGUAUCGGGAACGAC
RNAcentral lists this long non-coding RNA (459 nucleotides) under Brassica napus (rape). Its description in RNAcentral is "long non-coding RNA (BNAP_LNC015296)". The record is from RNAcentral. Lineage: Eukaryota; Viridiplantae; Streptophyta; Magnoliopsida; Brassicales; Brassicaceae.